UGUACAGGGGGCUGAAAGCAGUCCGAAAGGAUAUGCUAGCCACAGUUUCAAGUGGCGACACUGCCAAAUUGCGGGAACAUCCUAAAGCUUUAGCUACCAAGCCACAGUGGAAACAUUGUGGUGGCCAGGGUAAUGACCUCGGGUAUGGUAAAAACGCUAAGAUGCAACAAUGGACAAUCCGCAGCCAAGUCC
RNAcentral lists this ribosomal RNA (192 nucleotides) under Zoopagales sp. RNAcentral describes it as "partial small subunit ribosomal RNA". Lineage: Eukaryota; Fungi; Zoopagomycota; Zoopagomycetes; Zoopagales. The record is from RNAcentral.